This 590-nucleotide ribosomal RNA is filed under the name uncultured eukaryote. RNAcentral's name for it is "bacterial SSU rRNA". It matches the Rfam family "Eukaryotic small subunit ribosomal RNA", at positions 477 to 1068 of the family's 1831-position model. The record is from RNAcentral.
CCGAUGCGGGACCCUACGGGUGCCGCGUUCGGAAUGAGUACGAUUCGAACCACCUAACGAGGAACGAUCGGAGGGCAAGUCUGGUGCCAGCAGCCGCGGUAAUUCCAGCUCCAAUAGCGUACGUUAAAGUUGCUGCAGUUAAAAAGCUCGUAGUUGAACGUUCGGGUUCCGCGGGACGGGGCCGCCCCGCGAGGGACGGCGCCGCCCCGGGGCUCGUGAUAUCUCAUCUCGCCGCCCGUCGCGAGGCGGACGGAGGGAUGGAUGAGGUUACCUGGAAAAAAUCGGGGCGAUCUAGGCGGGCGAACCUCGCCAACGAACGAUCGGACAUGGGAUAACGGAAGAGGGCGUCGGCUCGACUUCGUCGGUUCCUCGGGCCGAGGCACGUACGGUGAAUAGGGACGGUCGGGGCCGCCCGUACCGGGUCGUGAGAGGUGAAAUUCUAGGAUCGACCCGAGACGAACCGCCGCGAAAGCAUUCGGCAAGGACGCUUUCAUUAAUCAAGAACGAAAGUCGGGGGAUCGAAGACGAUCAGAUACCGUCGUAGUCCCGACCGUAAACGAUGCCGACCGAGGGCCCCGGAGGAGUUACGU